This 253-nucleotide ribosomal RNA is filed under the name uncultured bacterium. RNAcentral's name for it is "partial 16S ribosomal RNA". It matches the Rfam family "Bacterial small subunit ribosomal RNA", at positions 524 to 776 of the family's 1533-position model. The record is from RNAcentral.
UACGUAGGCAGCGAGCGUUGUUCGGAGUUACUGGGCGUAAAGGGUGUGUAGGCGGUUGUUUAAGUUUGGUGUGAAAUCUCCCGGCUCAACUGGGAGGGUGCGCCGAAUACUGAAUGACUAGAGUGCGGGAGAGGAAAGUGGAAUUCCUGGUGUAGCGGUGAAAUGCGUAGAUAUCAGGAGGAACACCGGUGGUGUAGACGGCUUUCUGGACCGUAACUGACGCUGAAACCCGAAAGCGUGGGUAGCAAACAGG